AUGGUUGUUCAUGCAUGCAUUCGCUUUGAUGGCCAUGAUAUCGUCCGCAAAUUGUGUGCCGUUUUCUUAAUGACAGCUAUGUCAGUUCACCACGAUCCAUACAGGAUUAUAUUUGAUCCAAAUGAUUAUAGACUUUGUCGCUUACAACGUGUUCGUUACAGCGAGAGCGAUGGAGCACUCCUUACUGAACUUGGAGUCCUCGUCGGCCAGCGGCGAACUCACGCCCAGCUCGCGAAACCCUUCCUCGCAGGUCUGUGGCGCGUCCGCAGCGGCGCUGAGGUUCGUCAGGGCGUCCUGCAACUUCCCCGACGAGAUGCCCCUCGCCGCCGCGUCGAGCUGGUCCACGGCGCUCGAGUACAGCUCGUCGCAGUCGGCGAGCGGCCCCUGGAUCCUCUUGUCGUCCCCUUUCGAUGCCUUGAUGGUCGCGAUGCGCCUGCCGGUGCUCACGGCCGCCGCUCGGAUGAUCUUCGUGGCGAUGACGGCCAGGCCGCGCUUGUCCGCGGUGGCGCUGCCCUUGCACGCCUGGAAGAACUUGACGCAGUAGUCGUAGCCGACGUCCUUGUUACUCGCGCUGACCGACUUGCAGGUGUCGUCCAGAGUGGAGACGGCGCUGGACGAGACGAGGAGGAAGAGGAGGAGGACGGCGAGCUGGGAGAGAGCUUGCCAAGGCCUCAUCAUCUUUGCGCUGGUUUUAGUGGUGGUUGUGUCAGACGUUUUGUCUUUUGA
Molecule: ribosomal RNA, 726 nt
Filed under: Triticum aestivum (bread wheat)
Lineage: Eukaryota; Viridiplantae; Streptophyta; Magnoliopsida; Poales; Poaceae
Description: partial small subunit ribosomal RNA
Source: RNAcentral